UUUACAGAAUUGGACAAGAUAAUCUACGCAGAUUAUGGUGGCCCUGUUGCUUUAAAGUUAAAGGAGGUGGAAGACUUUGGAUGAUAUUGAGUUAGAGAUAAACAAGGAAAACUAUGAUUUCUAUGGAAUUUAAAGCAGCAUUAAAAAAUUAUGUGGCAUUUAUGAUAAAAAAAACUUUAAAAUGAAAUAUAGGUCAGGAACUGAAAUGUGAUUUAGGAUUUGUUGACUUUAAUAUAAUAACAGAUUUCAAGUCUUGAUGGUUGGAGUUUGAUUAUCUGAGGAACUUUUAGCCAGUUUAAUUUUCCUGUGUUCUUUUUUAUAAAGCUUGUAGCUGCGCAGUCCUGACUUAGGAAUUUGCUUCAAUAUUUGGCAAAUAUUUUAUUUCAAAGUCAUUAUUUUGGAUUUCCAUCCAUUUUUUAUUGUUCUGUAUCAUCUCAGGCACAUGUAGAUACCAACGUAUUUGCAUUAAAGCUGGUGUAAAUCCCUUUUUGAGAACCACCCAUAUCAGGUGUUGUGACAAAAUGGUGUCACUUUACCUUGCCCUUAAAUGUUCCAUAUACUAAACGUUAGCAUGGGGCAUAACUAAAAGACAAACAAAUUCUAAUGAUUUUCUGAUAAUUAUUUAAUGAGUUGUUUACGCUUAAUCAUAUUUUAGUGUAUUAUAAAUGUUUCACUACCGACAAUAGAAAAAAUAUGCGACAACACUUGUUGACU
This is a long non-coding RNA of Patella vulgata (common limpet), 714 nucleotides long. RefSeq lists it as uncharacterized. The record is from RefSeq and is a predicted model, not a curated record. The transcript is spliced from 4 exons. Lineage: Eukaryota; Metazoa; Mollusca; Gastropoda; Patellidae.